Betta splendens (Siamese fighting fish) is the source of this 118-nucleotide ribosomal RNA. The record is from Ensembl. NCBI's taxonomy places the organism in Eukaryota, Metazoa, Chordata, Actinopteri, Anabantiformes, Osphronemidae.
GCUUACGGCCAUACCACCCUGAGCAGCCCGAUCUCGUCUGAUCUCGGAAGCUAAGCAGGGUCGGGCCUGGUUAGUACUUGGAUGGGAGACCGCCUGGGAAUACCAGGUGCUGUAAGCU